AACGAACGCUGGCGGCAGGCUUAACACAUGCAAGUCGAGCGCCCCGCCCGGGGUGCGGCAGGCGGGUGGGUAGCGCGUGGGGACGUACCCUUAUCUUCGGGAUAGCUCCGGGAAACUGGAAUUAAUACCGAAUGUGCCCUUUGGGGGGAAGAUAGAUCGGAUAAGGAUCGGCCCGCGUUGGAUUAGCUGGUGGGUGGGGUAAAGGCCUACCAAGGCGACGAUCCAGAGCUGGUCUGAGAGGAUGAUCAGCCACAUUGGGACUGAGACACGGCCCAAACUCCUAGGGGAGGCAGCAGUGGGGAAUAUUGGACGAUGGGCGCAAGCCUGAUCCAGCCAUGCCGGGUGAGUGAUGAAGGCCUUAGGGUUGUAAAGCUCUUUCACCGGAGAAGAUAAUGACGGUAUCCGGAGAAGAAGCCCCGGCUAACUUCGUG
RNAcentral lists this ribosomal RNA (431 nucleotides) under uncultured bacterium. Its description in RNAcentral is "partial 16S ribosomal RNA". It matches the Rfam family "Bacterial small subunit ribosomal RNA", at positions 29 to 507 of the family's 1533-position model. The record is from RNAcentral.